UGGGGGAUAUUGCACAAUGGGCGAAAGCCUGAUGCAGCGACGCCGCGUGGGGGAUGAAGGCUUUCGGGUUGUAAACCUCUUUCGCUAUCGAACAAGGCCCGCUUAGGGUGGGUUGAGGGUAGGUGGAGAAGAAGCGCCGGCUAACUACGUGCCAGCAGCCGCGGUAAUACGUAGGGCGCGAGCGUUGUCCGGAAUUAUUUGGCGUAAAGGGCUUGUAGGCGGCUUGUUGCGCCUGCUGUGAAAACGCGGGGCUUAACGUCACGCGGGCAGUGGGUACGGUCAGGGUUGAGUGUGGUAGGGGAGAGUGGAAUUCCAGGUGUAGCGGUGGAAUGCGCAGAUAUCUGGAGGAGCAGCGAUAGCGAAGGCAGGUCACUGGGCCAUGACUGUCGCUGAGGAGCGAAAGCAUGGGUAGAGAAAAGG
Molecule: ribosomal RNA, 420 nt
Filed under: bacterium
Lineage: Bacteria
Description: partial 16S ribosomal RNA
Rfam family: Bacterial small subunit ribosomal RNA
Source: RNAcentral